AGUGAACGCUGGCGGUAGGCCUAACACAUGCAAGUCGAACGGCAGCACAGGAGAGCUUGCUCUCUGGGUGGCGAGUGGCGGACGGGUGAGGAAUACAUCGGAAUCUACUCUGUCGUGGGGGAUAACGUAGGGAAACUUACGCUAAUACCGCAUACGACCUACGGGUGAAAGCAGGGGACCUUCGGGCCUUGCGCGAUUGAAUGAGCCGAUGUCGGAUUAGCUAGUUGGCGGGGUAAAGGCCCACCAGGGCGAGGAUCCGUAGCUGGUCUGAGAGGAGAAUCGGCCAAACAGGAACUGAGACACGGUCCAGACGCCUACGGGAGGCAGCAGUGGGGAAUAUUGGACAAUGGGCGCAAGCCUGAUCCAGCCAUACCGCGUGGGUGAAGAAGGCCUUCGGGUUGUAAAGCCCUUUUGUUGGGAAAGAAAUCCAGCUGGCUAAUACCCGGUUGGGAUGACGGUACCCAAAGAAUAAGCACCGGCUAACUUCGUGCCAGCCGCCGCAGUAA
RNAcentral lists this ribosomal RNA (506 nucleotides) under uncultured bacterium. RNAcentral describes it as "partial 16S ribosomal RNA". It matches the Rfam family "Bacterial small subunit ribosomal RNA", at positions 29 to 523 of the family's 1533-position model. The record is from RNAcentral.